GACGAACGCUGGCGGCGUGCUUAACACAUGCAAGUCGAACGGAAAGGCCCUGCUUUUGUGGGGUGCUCGAGUGGCGAACGGGUGAGUAACACGUGAGUAACCUGCCCUUGACUUUGGGAUAACUUCAGGAAACUGGGGCUAAUACCGGAUAGGAGCUCCUGCUGCAUGGUGGGGGUUGGAAAGUUUCGGCGGUUGGGGAUGGACUCGCGGCUUAUCAGCUUGUUGGUGGGGUAGUGGCUUACCAAGGCUUUGACGGGUAGCCGGCCUGAGAGGGUGACCGGCCACAUUGGGACUGAGAUACGGCCCAGACUGCUACGGGAGGCAGCGGUGGGGAAUAUUGCACAGUGGGCGGAAGCCUGAUGCAGCAACGCCGCGUGCGGGAUGACGGCCUUCGGGUUGUAAACCGCUUUCGCCUGUGACGAAGCGUGAGUGACGGUAAUGGGUAAAGAAGAACCGGCUAACUACGUG
Molecule: ribosomal RNA, 468 nt
Filed under: uncultured bacterium
Lineage: Bacteria
Description: partial 16S ribosomal RNA
Rfam family: Bacterial small subunit ribosomal RNA
Source: RNAcentral